UACGUAGGGUGCAAGCGUUGUCCGGAAUUAUUGGGCGUAAAGAGCUCGUAGGCGGUUUGUUGCGUCGGCUGUGAAAUCCCGAGGCUCAACCUCGGGUCUGCAGUCGAUACGAGCAAACUAGAGUGUUGCAGGGGAGACUGGAAUUCCUGGUGUAGCGGUGAAAUGCGCAGAUAUCAGGAGGAACACCGGUGGCGAAGGCGGGUCUCUGGGCAACAACUGACGCUGGAGGAGCGAAAUGCGUGGGGAGCGAACAGG
This 255-nucleotide ribosomal RNA is filed under the name uncultured bacterium. RNAcentral's name for it is "partial 16S ribosomal RNA". It matches the Rfam family "Bacterial small subunit ribosomal RNA", at positions 524 to 776 of the family's 1533-position model. The record is from RNAcentral.